UGUACUGCUAUCCACCUAUAAAUGGUAGAUAAUUACGGGCGCAUUAGUGCUAUGAUGAGGAGGGGAUAAGUUGGAAUUCAUUAAGUCCCCCCUAAUUCCUGCAAUAAGUCCUCUAUUUAUAUAUUGCUAUGAUAACGAGAGGAUAAAUGGGAAUUCAUUAAUGCCCCCUAAUUCCUGCGAUAAGUCCUCUCUCUAUAUAUGAUCACCAUCAUGGCGAAUACUGGCAUCCAUCGACUAGACUAGAAAAACAACACUAGCUGCCCAGAAGAAGAGGAAUUGCAAGAACCCAUUCACCAUGGCACGUCCAAGGAACGACACACAUAUUUUGUUCUUGGUUGUAGCUCUUCUGGUCAUGUCUACCGCCUUCCUGCCCUGUAACGCAGAUAGUAAGAACAUACAUUUCUCCUGUACAAUAUUUUUUUUUGAAGCAAGGCAAAUACUUUGCUUUUUAUAUUGAUAUAUAGUAGGAGCAAAGGACAACCGGGCCGAAGCCAAAAACAGAAGAAAAAAAAGAAUAUAUGCUUCCAUCAUCUUCUUCUUUAUAGAUCUGUUCUUUCUUUCCCUUGGUACAAAACUGACAGUUCAUCUCUGUUCGUGCCGCUGUGCAGUCGACCCACCCAGCUGGUGCACGCCGGAGGCGGUUUGCCAGGACCCGGUUACGCCGGGAAACAGGGAAACGUGCAAAAGCAUCUGCAAAAGUUUUGGCUACAACCCGGAACAAGCCUACUGCAAUCCCGAUCCCACUCCGAGGUGCUGCUGCAUCUAUUAAGCGCAGGAAAUAACAAUGCCACUGGAGUGGCAGAUGAUGGAUGACAAAGCUAGCAAACUCACUUUUAUGUGUCCAUUUCGACUUAUGUAAAAAUCGGAACAGAUCAUGGUCCAGGCCUGUCCGUCAAUUAAUAAAGAUUAGAAAAAGUUUCUUUUAUAGGCUAGUUUGCAGAAUUAAUAAAUGAUCCAUCUGUAAAAUUGGAAUGUCUUGACUAAAGACGCGAAAUUUACUCUUUGUUCAAGCGGACACAAAUAUAAAGGCAACGAGCACCCCUUCAUAGCCCAACGAGAUAGCCAGCACGUAGUCGGGUCACAGUAUAAGGACAAAAAUGG
This 1101-nucleotide long non-coding RNA is filed under the name Triticum aestivum (bread wheat). RNAcentral's name for it is "long non-coding RNA (TAES_LNC002376)". Lineage: Eukaryota; Viridiplantae; Streptophyta; Magnoliopsida; Poales; Poaceae. The record is from RNAcentral.